GACGAACGCUGGCGGCGUGCUUAACACAUGCAAGUCGAACGGAAAGGCCCUGCUUUUGUGGGGUGCUCGAGUGGCGAACGGGUGAGUAACACGCGAGUAACCUGCCCUUGACUUUCGGAUAACAUCAGGAAACUGGGGCUAAUAUCGGAUAGGAGCUCCUGAAGCAUGGUGGGGGAUGGAAAGAUUCGGCGGUUGGGGAUGGACUCGCGGCUUAUCCGCUUGUUGGUGGAGUAGUGGCGUACCAAGGCUAUGACGGGUAGCCGGCCUGGGAGGGUGACCGGCGACAUUGGGACUGAGAUACGGCGCAGACGCCUACGGGAGGCAGCAGGGGGAAAUAUUGCACAGUGGGCGGAAGCCUGAGGCAGCAACGCCGCGUGCGUGAUGACGGCCUUCGGGUUGUAAACCGCUUUCUCCUGUGACGAAGCGUGAGUGACGGUAAUGGGUAAAGAAGCACCGGCUAACUACGUG
This 468-nucleotide ribosomal RNA is filed under the name uncultured bacterium. RNAcentral's name for it is "partial 16S ribosomal RNA". It matches the Rfam family "Bacterial small subunit ribosomal RNA", at positions 28 to 507 of the family's 1533-position model. The record is from RNAcentral.